AGUUAAUGAACUUGUAUAAGUUUAUAUUUUGAAAAUAUAAAAAAGAGUCUAAAAUACUCUAUUAACUU
RNAcentral lists this transfer RNA (68 nucleotides) under Siemssenius fulvipennis. RNAcentral's name for it is "tRNA-Ser". The record is from RNAcentral. Lineage: Eukaryota; Metazoa; Arthropoda; Insecta; Coleoptera; Chrysomelidae.